This 1508-nucleotide ribosomal RNA is filed under the name archaeon. RNAcentral's name for it is "bacterial SSU rRNA". It matches the Rfam family "Archaeal small subunit ribosomal RNA". The record is from RNAcentral. RNAcentral also lists the same sequence under 1 other name.
CAGAUCCGGUUGAUCCUGCCGGACCCGACUGCUAUCGGGGUGGGACUAAGCCAUGCAAGUCUAGGGUACCUAGAGGUUUCCUCUAGGUACCCUGGCGCACGGCUCAGUAAUACCCGGUCAACCUGCCCUCGGGCGGGGGAUAACCCCGGGAAACUGGGGCUAAUCCCCCAUAUGCGAGGGUGUCUGGAACGACCCCUCGCAGAAAGCCCUUCUGGGCGCCCGAGGAUGGGACCGGGGCCCAUCAGGUAGAUGAGGGGAUAAAAACCCCUCAUGCCGAUAACGGGUACGGGCCGUGGAAGCGGGAGCCCGGAGAUGGGCCCUGAGACAAGGGCCCAGGCCCUACGGGGCGCAGCAGGCGCGAAACCUCCGCAAUGCGCGCAAGCGCGACGGGGCCACCCCGAGUGCCUCCCGCUGAGGGAGGCUUUUGCCCAGUGUAAAAAGCUGGGCGAAUAAGGGGAGGGCAAGGCUGGUGCCAGCCGCCGCGGUAAAACCAGCUCCCCGAGUGGUCGGGACGAUUAUUGGGCUUAAAGCGCCCGUAGCCGGCCUCGCAAGCCCCAGGUUAAAUCCAGCCGCUUAACGGCUGGGCCGCCUGGGGGACUGCGAGGCUAGGGGGCGGAAGACGCCGGCCGUAUUCCCGGGGUAGGGGUGAAAUCCGUUAAUCCCGGGAGGACGCCCAGUGGCGAAGGCGGCCGGCGAGUACGCGCCCGACGGUGAGGGACGAAAGCCGGGGGAGCGAAGGGGAUUAGAUACCCCCGUAGUCCCGGCCGUAAACGAUGCGGGCUAGGUGUUGGGCAGGCUUCGAGCCUGCCCAGUGCCGUAGCGAAAGCGUUAAGCCCGCCGCCUGGGGAGUACGGCCGCAAGGCUGAAACUUGAAGGAAUUGGCGGGGGGGCACCACAAGGGGUGGAGCCUGCGGUUUAAUUGGAGUCAACCCCUGGAACCUUACCGGGGGAGACAGCAGGAUGAAGGCCAUGCUGAAGACAUUGCCAGACGAGCUGAGAGGAGGUGCAUGGCCGUCGCCAGCUUGUGCCGUGAGGUGCCCUGUUAAGUCAGGGAACAAGCGAGACCUCCGCCCCUAGUUGCCAGCGGGCCCCGCGAGGGGCGCCGGGCACUCUAGGGGGACUGCCGCCGAUAAGGCGGAGGAAGGAGGAGGCGACGGCAGGUCAGUAUGCCCUGAAUCCCCCGGGCCACACGCGGGCUACAAUGGGGGGGACAGCGCGUACCGACCCCGAGAGGGGAAGGUAAUCGCUAAACCCCCCCUCAGUUGGGAUCGAGGGCUGAAACUCGCCCUCGUGAACCUGGAAUCCCUAGUAACCGCGCGUCAUCAACGCGCGGUGAAUACGUCCCCGCCCCUUGCACACACUGCCCGUCGCUCCACCCGAGCCGGGCCCAGGUGAGGCCCUGUGUGGCACCCUUCGGGGUGUCAUGCGGGGUCGAACCUGAGCCUGGUGAGGGGGGAGAAGUCGAAACAAGGUGUCCGUAGGGGAACCUGCGGACGGAUCACCUCCUU